RNAcentral lists this ribosomal RNA (67 nucleotides) under uncultured bacterium. RNAcentral describes it as "partial 16S ribosomal RNA". The record is from RNAcentral.
CGCCGCNGAGGGGUGGACGGCCACACUGGGACUGAGACACGGCCCAGACUCCUACGGAAGGCAGCAG